Molecule: long non-coding RNA, 641 nt
Organism: Epinephelus moara (kelp grouper)
Lineage: Eukaryota; Metazoa; Chordata; Actinopteri; Perciformes; Serranidae
Exons: 3
Source: RefSeq, a predicted model, not a curated record
UAAAUCCAUCUACUAUCUGUGUGAAACAGAGCUUUUCACAUAUUCAACUUUUGUCUGUAACUGUUUAACUUUAAGUACCAAUACUGUCAAAAGCAGGGUCACAGUAAGGUCACGUACAUACAUGUUACACACCAGCAGUUAUGAGGUAAUGUUUCCUUGGCAUCGACCUCAGCAGAGAGUUGGUGUAUUUUCACCACAGGACGAUGACUGAUGAAGGGGAGCGCUGGAGGAGCAGGGAGGCGAGAUAAAACAAAAGUCCAAACCCAAAUAAGCAAGCCGUCAGCCUCUAAUAGCAGAAAGGAAGUAUCCCUUUAUCAACAAGUGAAUUAACAGUUUCCCGUCACACCUUGUUUUUUGCCUCCCCCUUUCUCUGUGAACCAGCGCCAGGACCCAGAUGGCCCAGUGAUCGGACCACCAUGGCUUCUGCUCGCUCAUCAAACGUCUCUGUUACGUCGGCUUUGGGUCGGCCCAGUGCCGUAGAAUGUCUGUCCACAUACGGAAGUCGCCACAGAGGCGGAAUUUCAUCUCCGCGGUGUUUGUUUGGAACUGAGCUCGCAGGACACAGCAUCUCAUCGCAGUUGGUUUCAGUUGACGUUAUCUGCUCAUCUGGUUAUCGUGAGCACUCGUUUUGGGUUAAAGUG